Molecule: non-coding RNA, 629 nt
Filed under: Monodelphis domestica (gray short-tailed opossum)
Lineage: Eukaryota; Metazoa; Chordata; Mammalia; Didelphimorphia; Didelphidae
Description: Eukaryotic large subunit ribosomal RNA
Rfam family: Eukaryotic large subunit ribosomal RNA
Source: Rfam by way of RNAcentral
AGAAGACCCUGUUGAGCUUGACUCUCGGCUGACACUGUGAAGAGACAUGAGAGGUGUAGAAUAAGGAGCCCCCUUGUGCCCCUUCCAGGAUCGCCCCCACCCCCAUCAGUGAGCAAGCCUUCUGGGCCCCUACCAUUACUCUGAUUGUUUGGUCGUUUUUUUCACUGACCCAGUGAUGGGGGGAUGGGGUGACAAGCCCUGAGGGGCUCUCGCUUCUGCCACCAAGCACCUAGUGCACCUCCAGGUGCAACCCACUCAGGGACAGUGUCAGAUGAGGAGUUUGACUGGUGCGGUACACCUGUCAAACCUUAACGCAGGCGUCUUAAGUCUAGCUCAGGGAGGACAGAAACCUCACGUGGAGCAGAAGGGCAAAAGCUCACUUGAUCUUGAUUUUCAAUAUGAAUACAGACCAUGAAAGCGGAGCAUCACGAUCCUUCUGGCCUUUGGGAUUUUAAGCAGGAGGUGUCAGAAAAGUUACCACAGGGAUGACUGGCUUGUGGUGGCCAAGCGUUCAUAAUGACCUCGCUUUUUGAUCCUUCGAUGUCAGCUCUUCCCAUCAUUUUGAAGCAGAAUUCACCAAGCCUUAUAUUGUUCACCCACUAAUAAAGUGAAGAAAUUCAAUGAAGUCU